This 253-nucleotide ribosomal RNA is filed under the name uncultured bacterium. RNAcentral's name for it is "partial 16S ribosomal RNA". It matches the Rfam family "Bacterial small subunit ribosomal RNA", at positions 524 to 776 of the family's 1533-position model. The record is from RNAcentral.
UACGUAGGGUGCGAGCGUUGUCCGGAAUUACUGGGCGUAAAGAGCUCGUAGGUGGUUUGUCGCGUUGUCCGUGAAAACUCACAGCUCAACCCUGGGCCUGCAUUCGAUACGGGCAGACUAGAGUACGGCAGGGGAGACUGGAAUUCCCAGUGUAGCGGUGAAAUGCGUAGAUAUUGGGAGGAACACCAGUGGCGAAGGCGGCUCACUGGACCGGUACUGACGCUGAUGCGCGAAAGCGUGGGGAGCAAACGGG